Molecule: ribosomal RNA, 402 nt
Filed under: uncultured bacterium
Lineage: Bacteria
Description: bacterial SSU rRNA
Rfam family: Bacterial small subunit ribosomal RNA
Source: RNAcentral
GGGGAUAUUGCACAAUGGGGGAAACCCUGAUGCAGCGACGCCGCGUGAGGGAAGACGGUUUUCGGAUUGUAAACCUCUGUCUUUGGGGACGAAUUGAGACGGUACCCAAGGAGGAAGCUCCGGCUAACUACGUGCCAGCAGCCGCGGUAAUACGUAGGGAGCAAGCGUUGUCCGGAAUUACUGGGUGUAAAGGGAGCGUAGGCGGGAUAGUAAGUUGAUUGUUAAAACUAUCGGCUCAACUGAUAGAUGCGAUCAAAACUGCAAUUCUUGAGUGAAGUAGAGGCAGGCGGAAUUCCUAGUGUAGCGGUGAAAUGCGUAGAUAUUAGGAGGAACACCAGUGGCGAAGGCGGCCUGCUGGGCUUUAACUGACGCUGAGGCUCGAAAGUGUGGGUAGCAAACAGG